UUGAAUAUUACAGCGUGUUAUAAGAAGACAAGUGUCAUUAAAAAGCAGGUAAUUUAGCGACAAGCAUUGCACGACAACAUUACUCCAGCUAUUAAAAGUACUCCUGUAAAAUCGCUCCCCUCCUGCCUCGCUGGGAUGAUGCCACGUACCAUUUUACAGGAGUACUUUUAGUCCGCCGGAAUAAUGUUGUCGUGCAAUGCUUGUCGCUAAAUUACGUGCUUUUCAAUGCCAUUUGUCUUGUUAUAACACACUGUAAUAUUCUACAGCAGGCAAAAAAUAAAAUAAAACCAUUAGUAAUUUGAGCAAGUGGCACCUCCGAGGCUGUGUCAAUGCAACCGUCUUUCCUUCACCUCAGGAUAUGAAUUUAGUGUGUGUGUGUGUGUGUGUGUGAGUGUGUGUGUGUGUAACACACACUGACAGGAAUGGUACAUCACUGCAGACCUACACGUCCCCGUGGGUGCCGUGAGGACACAGGCGUGCACCACACGGCUGCCUGGCUGCCCACUGGUGGUUCCUCGUGUUGUCUGGCGUGGACGAGAGGCUGCUGGAGGAGGCGGCCCAGAUAGCACAGCUCCUGCAGCCCACACAGCGCCGAUACUUCACCAUCACCUUCCCCGGCAGCAGCAUGAAGGCAGAUGUGUGGCGGCGCUGCCUUCACAAGCUGGCCAAUGCCGGCGUCACGGUGGAUGAUGAUGGUGCUGGUGGUGGUAUUGUAGCACCGGACACCAGCCCCAUCACGGAGGAGGAGGAGAGGGAGCUGCACACCCUUGCCAGCACCACGAUGUUUGGUGCCUUCAACAGAGUGUCUGAAGAGUACCUGUGGCGGUACCUGUAAUCCCCGUGACGGCCAGACUCAUCGGUGCUGGAAGUGCAUCCACUCACGAGGCAAACACCUGGGCUGCAUUUAUCCUACUGCAUUGUGUGUGUACAAGUCUACAGUGUGGCGCUCUCUCUCUCUCUCUCUCUCUCUCUCUCUCUCUCUCUCUCUGAUGAUUCAAAUUAUAUUCCUAAGUUUGUUAGAAUUCUUAAGUCUCUCUCUCUCUCUCUCUCUCUCUCUCUCUCUCUCUCUCUCUCUCUCUCUCUCUCUCUCUGAUGAUUCAAA
Scylla paramamosain (green mud crab) is the source of this 1102-nucleotide long non-coding RNA. RefSeq lists it as uncharacterized. The transcript has 3 exons. Lineage: Eukaryota; Metazoa; Arthropoda; Malacostraca; Decapoda; Portunidae. The record is from RefSeq and is a predicted model, not a curated record.